This 426-nucleotide ribosomal RNA is filed under the name Pseudomonas syringae. RNAcentral's name for it is "partial 23S ribosomal RNA". It matches the Rfam family "Bacterial large subunit ribosomal RNA", at positions 899 to 1321 of the family's 2925-position model. Lineage: Bacteria; Pseudomonadati; Pseudomonadota; Gammaproteobacteria; Pseudomonadales; Pseudomonadaceae. The record is from RNAcentral.
GGGGUGAAGCACUGGUUCGGCUAGGAUGUCAAUCCGACUUACCAAACCUGUGCAAACUCCGAAAACCUACAAGUGCAGAGCAUUGGAGACACACGGAGGGUGCUAACGUCCGUCGUGAAAAGGGAAACAACCCAGACCGUCAGCUAAGGUCCCAAAGUCAUGGUUAAGUGGGAAACGAUGUGGGAAGGCUUAGAAAGCUAGGAGGUUGGCUUAGAAGCAGCCACCCUUUAAAGAAAGCGUAAUAGCUCACUAGUCGAGUCGGCCUGCGCGGAAGAGGUAACGGGGCUCAAACCAUGCACCGAAGCUACGGGUAUCAUCUUUUGAUGAGGCGGUAGAGGAGCGUUCUGUAAGCCUGUGAAGGUGGGUUGAGCAGCUUGCUGGAGGUAUCAGGAGUGCGCAUGAUGCAAUGAGUAACGAACAGGGGUG